CUAAAACACAAGCAAAACCAUAGAGAGAGAGAGAGAGAGAGAGAGAGAGAGAGAGAGAGAGAGAUGGUGAAGAAAAUAGGCGAAGUUGGAGUGGAGGACUUGGUUCAGGCAGGGCUAACCGUUGAAGAGGCCAAGGAUUUCGAAACAGUCCUAAAAAAUAUACAAUCUCCAGCACGAAAGCAAUGCACCCGAAAGAGAUAUGGCGGCAGAUAGUGGCUGAGAGCUUGCUGAAAGCAUCACACACUCAUGACGUGCACCAGUUGAUCUACUACUCAGUCUAUGCCAAUUGGGAUGCCACCACCAAAGGCCGUCCCCUCUACUGGUUCCCUUCUCGGUUGGUGGCUAAUGCACUGGAUACAACCUUCUCAAAGGGUGAUGCAAUUGCUAUUGACAUGCUAAUGACAGUCGAUGCAGUUAUCAUAUGUUUAGCAAUCGUACUAGCAGGAUUGUUGUCUCAAUAGGGGACAGUUUUGCUGUGAACGAAAUUGCAACUCUGUCUGCGUGUGUAAAGCAAAGGGCGUCUUUACCCAGGAUUUCACACUAAGAGGAGGUCGAAAGUUUCCUUUCUACAGGUAGAUACUACUUCCUUAUCACCAUGAUAGAUGCUAACAUCUCUCUGCUCUUUCAGAGAUUGAAAUAUCAAAGUGUUAAUUAUACAUAUAAAUGCUAGUUUAAUUGUUACGUCUGUGAAUGUUGCUUGUUUAUGUUGCAAUCGAGUUGCAAAGGCCACUACACAUUUAGCUACUUCAGCAAUUGGAAGCAAUGCAGGGAUUCAGUAAAGAGAACAGGAUCUAUCCUGGCAUGAUUUUCUUUCUCGUGUUGAUCACCUUCCAAGAAAGAAUUACUACUCUCCGGUCUACAGACAAUUGAUUCCGUGACUAAUUUUCUCUUUUCAUCUGGAACCACAGGUGUUUACCAGGAGAUCCGAAAGCUAUUCCAUGGACACAACUUUCACCAAUUAGAUGUGCUGCUGAUACAUGGGCUCACAUUGAUACUCAAGUUAGGGGUGUCUACUGCGGGCCAACAAAUUUGAGAAGGGUUAUGGGUCUAAUCUUUACUCUACUCAGGCUUUCUAACCGGUUCAACUCUUGCUCUGUAUCACAGAUCUCCUCUCGGUUGUGGCUUCGGAAAAUUUGUUCUGGAUUCAGGAGUCACUAUAUUGGGAACAGUUCCUAGCUUAGUAAAAGCUUGGAAGAGUACAGUGUAUAAAAGGCCUAGAUUGGGCAAGGAUAAUCUUUUUAUUUAAACUUCAGAGUGAUUUAUUUACAUGAACACCGAGAAAAUGGACUUAACCAUCAAAGUAUGCAGAUCAUUUUCUUCCACUGGUGAAGCGUCUAGCGUUGAUGAUGACCUUUGGCUCGCUUCCCGCACUUAUUAUAGACCUGUCAUUGAAUGCUGUUGGGGCACAGAGCUUGCUUCGUCCUACAUCAUGGGAAGUCUGCUGCAGCCGCAAGCUUUUGGAGCAUUUAGCACAAAGUCCAUGAAAACAGGCUUUGUCAUCUUUGAUGAACAUGGAAUUCCUUAUCCAGAAGAGCAAGCUUGUGUCGGGGAAGUGAGUUUGUUUCCGCUAUUAACGGGAGUGGCUGACAGACUGCCAAAUGCUGCUCAUGAAAAGGUUUACUUCAAGGGAAUGCCAAUAUACAAUGGAACGGUACGAUUAGAACUACAUGUCUUUCAGUACUUGAACCUCUUGAUAUGCUUAAAUAUGAACUUAUCGAUGUUUUUGAAUCGCCUGCAACUUAGGAGAUAUGGAGAUAUAGUUAAAAGAACUGUUGGAGGUUCAAUUCCUCUCAUAGACAUACUUGAACCUCUUCAUAUGCUUAAAUGUGAACUUAAAUUUAUUCAAUUCUCUCAUUCUGAUUACGGAUUAGUAAACGAGUCAUAAGUUACCUAAGGUUGACAAUACAAAUUAA
This is a non-coding RNA of Malus domestica (apple), 1913 nucleotides long. The record is from RefSeq and is a predicted model, not a curated record. Lineage: Eukaryota; Viridiplantae; Streptophyta; Magnoliopsida; Rosales; Rosaceae.